This is a small nuclear RNA of Ictidomys tridecemlineatus (thirteen-lined ground squirrel), 106 nucleotides long. Lineage: Eukaryota; Metazoa; Chordata; Mammalia; Rodentia; Sciuridae. The record is from Ensembl.
AUGAUAGCUUCUGCAGCACAUACACUAAAAUUGGAAUGGUACAGAGAAGAUUAGCAUGGCCUUUGUGCAAGGGUGAUAGCAAAUUCAUGAAGUGUUCUGUAAAAAA